AAGCGAAUUUCGCGCAUUGAUUGUCACUUGAUAAGGGCCGAAACCGUCGGUCGAAACGUUGUGACGUGAUAUUAUUGUAUGGCCAGUUUGAUUGAUAAUAAACAAGAUUCUAUUUAUAUUUUAUUUAUAUUAUUAUAUUCUUUAUAUCAUAUAUAUAUAUAUAUAUAUCAUAUGUUUCAUACAUUUAAAUAUUUUAGAAUAUUUAGUACGGGCGACUAUCGACAUAUCUUUUGUACUCCUUUAAAUACGUCAUUGACGUGAUUUCCACUGCGCAUGACCGAAAAUCGCGGCCCGGCUGUGAAUUUCACACGGCAAAUGCGCACGCAGCGCCGUACUGAUUCGUCCGCCUCCAACAACUGCCAUCACAAUGUUGUUUUUUUUGUGUCUCUUGACACGCGUCAUCAACCGUACACCGAUCAUUUUCGUGGAAAAAAUGUUUAUCGGGAUCGAGUUCUUCUGAUGUUGUUAUUAUUAUAUCCCUCUCGCUCGCUCUCCUAGUUGUUAUUGCCGUCCAGGAAUACCAGGUUUAAGCCGCUGCCAACAGGCGGCAACAUAUACCAACACAAGCGCGCGGCCGUGUUGUACGUGAGCAUUUGUAAUUGUGAAUACUGUUGCAGCUUUUAUGACUGUACGUGUGUGCAAUCUUUGCUGUGAUUGGUUCGUUGCAGUGAUUAUAUCGAUAUUGCGAUAAUCGUUUUACGUUGUAAAGGAAUUUCAAAUAACCGACAGUAACGAUACGCGUCGUGAGUGUCGUGACGAGUAAACGCGGGUUCCAAUCGUUCCGCAUUUUCCGCGCUUAUUAUCGCGUAAAUCUGUAAUUUACUGCAAAAAUACUUGUUGCCAGUGUCGUGCAAAAAACUAGGCAUUUGUUACAAAGUGUCAAGUAUCAUGUACGCGCGUGUUUGCACGCCAAUAUCGCGAUUUCGGUAGCGACGAUUUCAAAGACUCGAAAUCUUUUUCGCGCAAUUCGCGCCGCCAUUUUCUCGUCAAGUUGCGGCGAAAUUAUAAUUAGUACAUUGUGUCAUUAUUAGUGAUAAUCCCCUUCUGUGUCAAUCCAACGUUGAACAAAAUCGUCAUCGCACACGUUGUGUUACUCUUUUCACCGAAUCGGAGCGGAGAUGCACUCGCAGUGCGAAUCACGUUCUCAUCGCGUAUUUCUAUCAGGUUUUCGAGGUAAGUGCGCUAAGCGCUAUUAUCAUAGCACUAAUAUAGUAGCACUAGUACAACUGGUUAUUUGUGUCAACAUGACAUUAUUCAGAUCUGUUUUGAUUUUACAAGAGAUGACUGAUGCCAUUUAAAUUUCUUGAUGCAAUGUUUCAUAAGUUGUUAUUUGUUAUACGAGAUGCGCGUAUCAAUAGGUCUGUUCUUUUCAGCUGCACUGCUGAACUGGUGCAAUAGGUUAGAGUGAGACAAGUAUAUUUUUUCUCACUCUAACUUAUUGCAUUGAUUUUUGUCUAAAUGUAGGUGUAAAAAGCAGGCCGGAUACUUUGCCUUUGGAAUCACUACGGGGAUACGAUCGGGCAUCAUUAUUUCAUUAUUUACGUAGCGUGCAGUUAGAUCAAAUGUGAGAAAAGUUUACGUUCGUAAUAUACGGAUUGUCUCUGAACUCGAUGAACCGACGAAAUUGCCAGAGAAUCCGUGGUUUAAUACGCGGGUAACACGAUACGUAAGGAGGUUUUUAUCGUUUUUGCGUUUAAUAAAAUAUUCAAAAGAUAUGCGAACAUUUCGAGUUCAAAUAGCAAGAAAACAUGAUACGAGUUGGUGGCAAACGAAUCUGUUUGAACAGAGUCAAUAUAGUAGAACGUUUUAUCGAUGUUAUCGAUAAGUGUCGAUAUAGUAGUACGCUUUACCGCUUCAAAGUAACAGUCGGUACAUUUUGUAAAAAGAUUCGAGUAGUCAUGUCAUCUUCUGGAAUCGUGUUCUUCUAUUGCUCGAGAAGCUAAGUAACAGAUAAGUUAAACUGGAGGAAUUGAACGCUGAAAUAAUUAACCUCCUUAAUGAGUAUCCAGGUAACAAUCCACAGAUUCUCGGGAAUCGACGUCCAGUUAGUUCGUCCAUUUCAACGUAACUUUUCUUGUUGCACUUAAUUGAAGGCUACAUUAAUAAUAAAAAUAAGUGUAAUUAUAUAUAUUUUGUGCAUUUUUAUCGUGUUUCAUGAUUCUUUAGAUUAAAUACUACAUUCUUGAAAUUAAAAUUACUAGAUUUUAUGUGGAAAACAUAUAUAUUUUCGGUAUUUUAAUCCAGCGAAGAGCAUCAUAUGAUUUCGUCGUGUAUCCUUUUAGUAACUACAAACAAAUAAAUCUAUACAUAUUUUCUGCAUUGUUAUUACAUUUUACUGUUGCGGGAGAUAUAUUCAAAUAUUUUUAUUUUAUAUUAUCAUUUUAUUUUAGAUACAUUAGACAUGAAUUUAUCUCAUUAAGAGAGGAAAACUACAAUUACAAUUGCAUUUUAAUGAAAUCACACCACUUUUUUAUUUCGUGGAGAUUUAACUGAUUUUCUUCGCUUUUAUGAUAUUGUUAUACUGUAUAGAAGGUAGAAAUGAUUUAUGACAGACAUUCAUAACGUCUAUCGCUUUGUUGAACUGGCGUUGCAACUGUUAUAACUACUGUUAUUAUGUCAUUAUAAUUAUGAUAUUUUCUAUAGGUACUCAUAUGGGAAUCUAAAGUUUUUUUUUGUUUUUACUGCAAAAGUCGGUUGGAUAAAAAUUACUGUCACAUAAUUUAUGCUGUCAAAUAUCUAUUUAACGAUUAGAUUGACAAUGAGUGAUGAUAUAAACCUAUUUGCAAUUUGCGUAACAAUAUUAUAAGUAUACACGCUACUUAAUGAGUAUAAUUAUCCUAAGUAAUCUACAUAAGUAUUAUCUACAUUGUAGUUUCAAUCUCCUUGGGGUUACAAAGUAUAUUUAUUUUAGCAUUAUUUUAUGCAUUUUAAUAAUUAUCUUAUUUAAUUAUAGCUGAAUUUAUCCUGGCUAUUUCUCUUGUGCAUUCUAUAGUAAUUCUACUUCGUUAUCGGACUUGCAGUGUGUCUUUUACAAUUAUUUAUUGAAUUGGCUAACGUUAUAGUUAUUAUCGCAGGUUAUUUUUAUGGUGUCACUAUAUGGUGUCGCGUAUUAUCAUUAGAAAUUCGUGAAAUUGGUCAUUCUUUGUAAAUUCUUCUAAUAAUCAAUGGAUAAUUGUAUCUACAUAUCUGUGAACUCCUUUUCACACAAAUAUAUAUACUUUUAUUGCUCAUUAAUUAUUUAUUUCACAAACUAUAACAGUGAACAUCAUUUAUUUCGGUAAUGGAGUAAAACUAUAAUCCUAUUUUCAAGUUUUAGCAUUUUAUUCGUG
Molecule: long non-coding RNA, 3329 nt
Filed under: Ooceraea biroi (clonal raider ant)
Lineage: Eukaryota; Metazoa; Arthropoda; Insecta; Hymenoptera; Formicidae
Description: uncharacterized LOC105283506
Source: RNAcentral